RNAcentral lists this ribosomal RNA (460 nucleotides) under uncultured bacterium. RNAcentral's name for it is "partial 16S ribosomal RNA". It matches the Rfam family "Bacterial small subunit ribosomal RNA", at positions 338 to 795 of the family's 1533-position model. The record is from RNAcentral.
CCUACGGGUGGCAGCAGUGAGGAAUAUUGGUCAAUGGGCGCGAGCCUGAACCAGCCAAGUCGCGUGAGGGAGGACGGCCCUACGGGUUGUAAACCUCUUUUGCCGGGGCGCAACGGGCGCCUCGUGUGGCGUCACUGAGAGUACCCGGCGAAAAAGCAUCGGCUAACUCCGUGCCAGCAGCCGCGGUAAUACUGAGGAUGCGAGCGUUAUCCGGUUUUAGUGGGUUUAAAGGGUGCGUAGGCGGAUCGUUAAUUCAGUGGUCAAAUUGAGGGGCUCAACCCCUUCCCGCCAUUGAUACUGGCGUUCUUGAGUGGAAGAGAGGUAAGCGGAAUUCGUGGUGUAGCGGUGAAAUGCAUAGAUAUCACGCAGAACCCCGAUUGCGAAGGCAGCAUGCCGGCUUCCGACUGACGCUGAAGCACGAAAGCGUGGGGAUCGAACAGGAUUAGAUACCCUUGUAGUC